RNAcentral lists this ribosomal RNA (240 nucleotides) under uncultured bacterium. RNAcentral's name for it is "partial 16S ribosomal RNA". It matches the Rfam family "Bacterial small subunit ribosomal RNA", at positions 118 to 354 of the family's 1533-position model. The record is from RNAcentral.
UGAGCAAUCUGCCCUUCUCUUUGGAAUAAGCGUUGGAAACGACGUCUAAUGCCGAAUACGACCUCCUUUCGCAUGAUCGGAGGUGGAAAGCUCCGGCGGAGAAGGAUGAGCUCGCGGCCUAUCAGCUAGUUGGUGUGGGUAACGCCCACCAAGGCGACGACGGGUAGCCGGCCUGAGGAGGGUCGACCGGCCACACGUGGGACUGAGACACGGCCCAGACCUCCGUACGGGAGCAGCAGG